This 350-nucleotide unclassified non-coding RNA is filed under the name soil metagenome. RNAcentral's name for it is "partial contains 5.8S ribosomal RNA, internal transcribed spacer 2, and large subunit ribosomal RNA". The stretch from base 1 to 120 matches the Rfam family "5.8S ribosomal RNA", at positions 35 to 154 of the family's 154-position model. The record is from RNAcentral.
GAUGAAGAACGUAGUGAAAUGCGAUACGUAAUGUGAAUUGCAGAAUUCAGUGAAUCAUCGAGUCUUUGAACGCACAUUGCGCCCCCUGGUAUUCCGGGGGGCAUGCCUGUCCGAGCGUCAUUGCUGCCCUCAAGCACGGCUUGUGUGUUGGGCCCCCGCCCCCCGGUUCCCGGGGGGCGGGCCCGAAAGGCAGCGGCGGCACCGCGUCCGGUCCUCGAGCGUAUGGGGCUUCGUCACCCGCUCCGUAGGCCCGGCCGGCGCCCGCCGGCGACCCCACCUCAAUCUUUCCAGGUUGACCUCGGAUCAGGUAGGGAUACCCGCUGAACUUAAGCAUAUCAAUAAGCGGAGGA